UACGUAGGGUGCAAGCGUUAAUCGGAAUUACUGGGCGUAAAGCGUGCGCAGGCGGUUUUGUAAGUCAGAUGUGAAAUCCCCGGGCUUAACCUGGGAACUGCGUUUGAAACUACAAGGCUAGAGUGUGGCAGAGGGUAGUGGAAUUCCCGGUGUAGCGGUGAAAUGCGUAGAGAUCGGGAGGAACACCAGUGGCGAAGGCGGCUACCUGGACCAGCACUGACGCUGAGAAGCGAAAGCAUGGGGAGCGAACAGG
RNAcentral lists this ribosomal RNA (253 nucleotides) under uncultured bacterium. RNAcentral describes it as "partial 16S ribosomal RNA". It matches the Rfam family "Bacterial small subunit ribosomal RNA", at positions 524 to 776 of the family's 1533-position model. The record is from RNAcentral.